This 1104-nucleotide long non-coding RNA is filed under the name Bemisia tabaci. RNAcentral's name for it is "lncRNA ENSSSA1UGG003318". The record is from RNAcentral. Lineage: Eukaryota; Metazoa; Arthropoda; Insecta; Hemiptera; Aleyrodidae.
AUGCAGCCUUUGGAUGUGACAUAUGUACUAUUGUCACGCCUUUUACUCUUCCAUUUUGCAAGGGCAGAAAAUUUACUUCCAGGAAACUUAGACUCUAGUCAGCACUAUGAAAAUUCAGGACUAAGAAUUAGAUGUCCUGCAAGGGGUUUUUCCAUCCAGGACAUAAGUCAAUCUGCUGGAGCAAUGCGUCUGGAUGGAUCCAUAAAAACAGUUCCAGUCCAGUUUACAGUUUCAACGAAAAGCCCUAAUGUGUUCUUGAACCAAGUGCUUGCAGUCAAUAGUCGGAUAUAUCAAUGUAAAACUCCAAUUUUGCGUAAGUCUGGCAGACAUGUUUUCUCAAGACAGAAACGGGAGCUUCAUUUGGGACCUCUGCGAUCAUUACACACUGAAUUAAAUGUUAUUCUAGACUGUGUAACAACCCGCCACAUACUUCCACCAACAAAUGGAAAGAAAGGAGUGGUCAUCUUGGAAUCAACCGGACCGCAACUCUGGGAUUUCGCGAAAAUAGUCACCGAAGACACCUGUCAGAUGGAAAUUUCUGACCCUUCUAGUUCAAUUCCAAUUGUUCGAGAACUAAAAUUUAAGGUUCAAGGAGCUACAAAUGUUGAGAAAAAAGAUCCAGCGAAUCAUGAAAUAACAUUUCGGUACGGUGGUGGACGUGGCCGUGGACGCGGGAGACGAAGAGGAUUAGGGCCAAAGACAACUACAACACCCAAGCCAGUUCCAAUAGACAAGGACGUUGAGUAUCCAGAGGCUUUCAAAAGUCAUGUAUCUAACUGGGACAGGAAACGAGGAGACAUGACGAGGGCACCAGCGCGGCCGAAACUCGUUCAGCAAUCGGAGCGAUUGGUGCAAGUUGAGUGGAAACCACCGUUGAAAGUUAUGCCAAUAGAGUUCUACCGCGUCGAAUACAUGAAAGACGACAGUCAGAACCAAUGGCUUCCCUGUCACAAGGGCAACUUACCUGCCCGAACCCGUGCUUUUCAGUUUGACCAGCUAAUGACCUUCCGAAGAUACAAAUUUCGAAUUUUAGUUCACUAUGAGAAUGGACAGGAACGAUACAGCUCACCCACCACAUGGUUCCACUUAGAAAACUGGACGUGA